Molecule: long non-coding RNA, 360 nt
Organism: Mobula hypostoma (lesser devil ray)
Lineage: Eukaryota; Metazoa; Chordata; Chondrichthyes; Myliobatiformes; Myliobatidae
Exons: 3
Source: RefSeq, a predicted model, not a curated record
GCCUAGUGCACCCGCACACAACGGUGCCGUGGAAUUUCAGGAGUUUCGGCCGCAUCUGAUGCUGUCUAAAACUGACUGAAGCAAUUACUGCAUCCAUCCCUUCAAGGAAAGCGUGCCAUGUAGCAGGAUGUGGAGCAGCAAGGGUAUGGAAUCUUUGGAGAGGGUUUACAUGAAAAGUUGGAACUGCAGAGUUCACUCUGACGAAAUGAUAUGGGAUCAAUCUUAUUUAGUUUACAGUUCAGAGUUUUCCCCAAGAUCGACACACAAGAUGCUGGAGAAAAUCAGCAGGUCAGGCAGCAACUAUGGAAUGGAAUAAACAGACGUUUCGGGCUGAUACCCUUCAUCAGCACAGGAAAGGAA